Molecule: long non-coding RNA, 2048 nt
Filed under: Vigna radiata
Lineage: Eukaryota; Viridiplantae; Streptophyta; Magnoliopsida; Fabales; Fabaceae
Description: long non-coding RNA (VRAD_LNC009084)
Source: RNAcentral
GGCUAACUUGCGUACGUCUGUUUUUCAGUUGGUACAUUUUAGUAAUGUGUACCGGAUUUCAGUAUACAAAAAUACCCUUAUAUCAUUAAUUCUAAGUUUUAAGGUUAAGGAUAUUUUAAUAAUUUUUAUUCUUAAAAUUAAAAAAAUAAAAAAAGAAACCCCCCAAAUCCUUACCCACCUCUUUCAUUCCUCUCAACCUUUUCUCUUUCAUCUCCUUUCACUCAGACUUUUACUCUGUCAUCCUUGCUCUAGCCCCAAUUGAAAAAAAUCAGAAACAUUUGCCAAAAAUGGCCACGGAACAAUGUUAUGUAGUGUCUCAGAAUGUAAAGGAAGGAUGCUCAUAAGUCUUGGUGCAAGUUGUGUCAGUCGGCUGUAAUAUAUAUAGUGAAGAUAAUGAAAUUAAAGAGAUUAUGAAUGAUCUUUUUUCGGAAGGUGAAUAUGUCNAUGACUCAACUCUUUACAAAAGUAAAUUGUUUAAUAAUGAGUAUUUUUUUAGUUGGAGCUAGUUCAGAGAUGAUAGAGAAAAUGUUAAGAGGAAUGAAGUAGGUGAGUAAGGGUUUGGGGUUUCUUUUUUCAGUUUUGAGAAUGAAAAUUUUUAAAAUAAGACAAGUGUUUGAUUUUUUUCAAUUGGGGCUAGAGUAAAGGAUGAGAGAGGUGGGUAAGGGUUUGGAAGGUUUCUUUUUUUAUUUUUUUUAUUUUGAAAGUGAAAAUUAUUAAAAUAUCCUUAACCUUUAAACUUAAUUCAUGAUAUAUAAGAGUAUUUUUGUCUACUGAAAUCCGGUACACAUUGCUAAAAUAUACCAACUGAAAAACAGACGUAUGUAAGUUAGCAAACCCCAUAUAUAUAUAUAUAUAUAUGUGUGUGUAUCCGCUGAUAAAAAAAGAAAAACAGUGCUCAUAGGUAUGUAAGUAUAUUUACUCCACGCAAAUUUCUCUUAUAAUCUAUAAUUAAUAGAUUAGGGAUUCCUUUUAUCUAAGGAAAGUCAAAUAAAUAUACUAGGAUGAUCUUUUGGUUCCAUUCUCCAUUGGUCUCGGUAUUUUUAUUUUAUUUUUUCAUAACUCAGGCAGAGUAUAGCACGAAAUUAUCUAGUGAUACGAGAUUAUAACGAUUUUAUUAAUUUUAUAUGACAAUCAACUAAUGUUAUUUUUUUUUUCUAUAAAUUGUAAAAUUACCUUUAAAUUCUAUGAGAAAAUUUGGGAUGCAGACUGAAGAGAAUGCUUUAGCAAAACAAGUUUUACAUUCAUGCAAUCGCUCCGUUUAAAUUUCAUUUAUUUAUAGUGUUUUGGUUAGUUUGUCCGGCUGAUAAAAAGCACUGUACUGGUUGCUGAUUUGGAAUUAUAGUUCCCCAUUACGUCCCCAAAAUUAUCAUGUUGCGAAGGAAAAAAAGAAAUGUACACAGAACGUAUGUAACAUAUUAAAUCAUUUAAUAUUAUAUAUAUAUAUAUAUAUAUAUAUAUAUAUAUAUAUAUAUAUGUGUGUGUGUGUGUGUAUGUUUGCUUAAAAAAGGAGGCUCCGACAAAAAAGAUAGGUAAAAUAUGUUAACGAAUAUUCGUGGACCAAGGCCAUUAUAAAGUGUCGCUUUCCAAGCCCUGCUUCAAUACAAGGCCACCUCUCCACAAAACUCAUCGUCAUCCUUAAAGCCAGACAAAUUGGACCCUCUCUCAACUUUUUACUUUUUAUGUAUCGUCCAUGAAGCCAAUAACACAACUUCAAGCUCCAAAACAAAAUGUUCAGGGAUACCUCAUUUUUCAGAAAACAGAUACAAAAUGCGUGGAAAGAAUUACCCAGAAACACCUAAGACCGUGAAAGCAAACACUAAUAAACAAACAGCUUUAUAUAUACACAGUACACUUAGCAAAAGCACGCCCAUAGUUCCGUUUUUACAUAUUUACAGCUAACCGACCAUCCAUAACUAGUUUAACACUAAACAGACUAACACUGAGCUGUUAAACCACACAAAGCUACCACUGCGUCAUUCCACGAUUUCAACCGCUCAACUGAUGAACUCACACACACACACACACACACACACACACACACACAUAUA